UCUUACUCUUUCCCCUUUUCGUUUCAUGAUUUCGAAUCUUAGGGUUUCUAAUUCCUCGCUAAAUUAGGAAAUUUCUGAAACAAUUGGUAAUCGAAUUUCUCAGUGAUUAGACAUUUGAGUAUCACAUCUCCAGAUUUAGGGUUUUCGAUACUAAGUAUGUGUCUCAAUGUCAAAAGGUUGCUAUGUGGAAAUCAGAAAUCUCAAUUUUGUAGUUGUUCUUUGUGAUUUUUUUGGUGGAUUGAUAUGUUGAUGUGACUGUGACUUCAUUAGCUGAUUAGUAUUGUUAAUUAAUUGCUCAGAAAUGAUUAGGGAUAUGAGUAGAUUAAGAAAUAACUUUGCGUUCAAUUGUUUGUUUGAGAAAGAUCAUGUAAUGGAUUUUUUUUUUUUUAUGAUGGUGUAGCUGUGAAAGCUGAUUUGAUGGCUAAACUUGAUAAAGAGGUUAAAUCUUUGAAAGAAGAUAGUAUACGUGAUUGCCCUCUCCAAAUUCUAAGGCUUUUGAGACGGAAUCGCCAGUCAAAUCUUUGUUGAUGUCACAAAGAACCAUACAAAUAGAAAAUGAAAAAGAGACGAGUGAUCUACAUUUGAGGGUAACAUUGGUGAGUGUUUUCAAAACAUACAUUCGUCUAUACUAAGCCUCGGAAAUGAAUCCCUCAGAAGGGCCAUUGCAGGAUCUGUCACUCAAGAUCAUGUUAGAGACAGAGAUCAUAAGUAGUAAUUCUAAAGGCUGGUAAAUGGAUAACGAGAAGUCGAGUA
Arabidopsis lyrata subsp. lyrata is the source of this 753-nucleotide long non-coding RNA. RefSeq lists it as uncharacterized. The record is from RefSeq and is a predicted model, not a curated record. The transcript has 3 exons. Lineage: Eukaryota; Viridiplantae; Streptophyta; Magnoliopsida; Brassicales; Brassicaceae.